Molecule: ribosomal RNA, 424 nt
Filed under: uncultured prokaryote
Description: bacterial SSU rRNA
Rfam family: Bacterial small subunit ribosomal RNA
Source: RNAcentral
UGGGGAAUCUUAGACAAUGGGCGCAAGCCUGAUCUAGCCAUGCCGCGUGAGCGAUGAAGGCCUUAGGGUUGUAAAGCUCUUUCACCGGUGACGAUAAUGACGGUAGCCGGAGAAGAAGCCCCGGCUAACUCCGUGCCAGCAGCCGCGGUAAUACGGAGGGGGCUAGCGUUGUUCGGAAUUACUGGGCGUAAAGCGCACGUAGGCGGAUUGUUAAGUCGGGGGUGAAAUCCCGGGGCUCAACCCCGGAACUGCCUCCGAUACUGGCAGUCUUGAGGACGGGAGAGGCGAGUGGAAUGCCGAGUGUAGAGGUGAAAUUCGUAGAUAUUCGGCGGAACACCAGUGGCGAAGGCGGCUCGCUGGCCCGUAUCUGACGCUGAGGUGCGAAAGCGUGGGGAGCAAACAGGAUUAGAUACCCCCGUAGUCC